ACUUCAACAACAAUUCACAAGUAUAAACAACUCUGAAGUAGACCACAGAGCCUAGAGAUGUCAUUAUUUUCAGGAAAUAAUUAACAGAUUACACCUAGCCCCCACAUAUGAUUUCUACAAUUUGGAUUUCCAACAGCUAACUCAAAAUUAAGAUGAGGAAAAAAAGCUUGAAGUAUGGAAGGAUCUCGUCAACAAAUGGUCUUUGCUGAGGUUUCGUCGGGGAGCAAUUGGAAUUUUUUCAUUGGAAUAGCCACCACCCUCCCGCCCCCAAAGAAAAGUCACAGGCCCAAGUUUACAUGAAUCACUGUCCAGGAAAAGUGAGAUUACUUUGACUGCUUGAUGUCUCAUGAUUUCAGCCUUGGGCAAUUUUACCUAAGAUAUGACUAAGUUAGAAAACUUGAGCAAGGAAGAAAGUGAGGUAAAAGGAGAAUGACUUUUGGUUAUUAGCAACACAUUUUUGCACCAGACCCAGAAUUCUUAAUUCCGCCUUUCUCCUUUUGCGAGAAAAAUAAUAUCCUCUUUACCAAAUCCAACUUGGGAUCAAUAUUUUAUUACUGGGUGUCCAAUAUAUUCUUAAGUGAUGAACCACCCUAACUAUACCAUUUUCUUUGUUAUACUGUCUUCAUGUUCCUGGUUCUGUUUUUCUUUUUCAAAUAGGUGUAUGUCAGAUUACAUUACUUGAUAUAUAUUGCUCCUUUAUUCAUUGUAUGUUUCUCUAACUAGAUUCAAGAUCCAAACAGAAAGAAUCUUGGUCAGAUUCUUCCAUUGCUAUACUGUCAACUCUCAAAAUAAUGCUAGCACAGAGAUGAAUAUUCGCUAAAAAUAUGUUGAGUUCUUUCACUGGGAAACCAUGUGAUAUAUUGUCAGGUGGAUAAAAAAAGCUGCAAAUCCAGAAGCAGGCAAGUCAUCAUUAGCCAAGUGAGUUGUGCUACCUGGCAAUCAGUGUCACUAUUCCUUUAGGACAGGCUGGGCUUUCUAGCACCCUACAGUUCUUAAAUAGUCCUUUUGUCUUGUAAUUGACUUCUUUACACAUUUACAAUAAAUGACAAACUUUAAGACUUUAUAAGUUUCGAUUAUUUUCCUCACAGGUAUACAUAUAUGGUCCAAUUUUUGCCUCUAGGUGAAGUCUAUAAAGAAGAAGAAGGUGCAUUUACUUUUCAAUUUUCCCAGUUUGCAUUUAUUGUUUGAACUAUUUAACUGUGUAUGCAUUAC
Molecule: long non-coding RNA, 1212 nt
Organism: Equus asinus (donkey)
Lineage: Eukaryota; Metazoa; Chordata; Mammalia; Perissodactyla; Equidae
Source: Ensembl